Molecule: ribosomal RNA, 253 nt
Filed under: uncultured bacterium
Lineage: Bacteria
Description: partial 16S ribosomal RNA
Rfam family: Bacterial small subunit ribosomal RNA
Source: RNAcentral
UACGUAGGGGGCAAGCGUUGUCCGGAUUUAUUGGGCGUAAAGAGCGUGUAGGCGGCUAGGUAGGUCCGUUGUGAAAACUCGAGGCUCAACCUCGAGACGUCGAUGGAAACCAUCUGGCUAGAGUCCGGAAGAGGAGAGUGGAAUUCCUGGUGUAGCGGUGAAAUGCGCAGAUAUCAGGAAGAACACCCGUGGCGAAGGCAGCUCUCUGGUACGUGACUGACGCUGAGACGCGAAAGCGUGGGGAGCAAACAGG